UUGGCAUUAAUAUUAAGUUGGCUUCUUGAAAUUGCAUUGUGCUUGUUGAGUGUUUAAAUUGUAUAAUUGAUGUGACACCUUUAACCUUGUCACAACCCAACCCGAUGGGCCGUGACUAGUGCCCGUUUUGGACACCCAUAUACAAACCUGCUAAGUAUAACAAACUGAAACUAAGACAAUAUAGAAUUUAAUCAAAUCAAGCCAACCCCAACGUCGUAUAUAUAUAAGAGGACCUGUCUCAUAAGGAGUCAUAACCAUUCAACCAUAACAGCAUACGCGAGCUGACAAGGCCGCCACUAUUCCAAGCAUAAUAACAUACGUAAGCCGACAAGGCUGUCACUACACAAUACACAAUGAUGUACGCAGCCGAAAGGGCUGCCCUUGUACAAGCGGACAUCCCAAACAAACCAUGUCCACACCAUUAUCCAAAACAUAUAUAUACAACUCACAUAAUUUCCACAGACCUCUAAGAGUACAUUAGUGAAACUCGACGGGAAAGGGCCCCGCCAUACCCAUAGACGAGCAAAAGACUACACAAAAGUGAUGUACCAAAACGACUGGGCUCCGGAAUAGUGGAGCUCUCCCAAUCAGCAGAGUAGAUAUCCUAGGCGGGAGGAUCACCAAACUGUGCGUCUACACCUGUGGGCAUGAAACGCAGCCCCCCGAGGAAAGGGGGUCAGUACGGACAAUGUACUGAGAAUGUAAAGCAUAUGGUAAAGAUGACAGGAUACCAAUAUGGCAAGUCGAAACAAAAUAUCGCUACACAUGCACCCUUUUAAGUGAAAAUCAUGCAUAUCUUUAAAAUAUAAGGUGCCCAGCUUCCCUAGUAAGGGACUCGGCAAAAUAAUCAUCAUUUCAUCUCCGUCAUCAUCAUCAUCGUAACCAUCCUCAUCACCAAUCAUAUAUAUAAUAUACAUACCCGGCCCUCUAGUGAGGAACUCGGUGACAUAUGCAAGAAACUCCGUACGAACAUUACCCGGCCCGGGACUCGGUGAAAUGAUAAAUGACUCCAUGCACGAGCAGAAUAUUAUGAGCAACCAUAUGCAAUUAAAAUCAUUUCUUAUAACUCAAUAGAACAAUCAACAUGAACCAACAAGGAGUAUUACCAAAGAUUAAUGUUUUAUCAAGAUUAUGAACCUUUAAUACGAUAUGGAAAUGUAAAAUCUCAAUGACUCUAAGAAGCACUACCAUAGAUAUUAGAGAUCAUCAUAGCCUUAGACAUAGCCGAUAUAUAGAGGAAUAAUUGUGGAAGCAAGAAUAUACGUCACCUAGACGCUCUAGAGGUAAGUAUCAAACCUGUCCGUUAUUCUCUUAUUUUAAAAUGUCAUGCCAAACAAAGAAAGAAGGGACAACGUCACAUACCGUAUAAUCAAGCCGCACGUCCAAUAUUUACUACUCAAGCUAUUAAUCUAUAACAAGCAACAAUCGUGCCGCAAUUAGAUAAACAUCUAGCUUUACUUUCUUGUAAGCUAGCUAAUAAUCUAACGAAAAUUCGGCAGCACUUCCCCUAUUUUCCUUACUUCGUCCCAAUCCGACAACAACCCAAAUUAUCCACAGCAAUACCAAUAACACAUAUAACCCAACGAAUCAUAUUAAACAGCCCCCUCCCCAAAACAGUUCUGUCUCGGCAACCAUAGUAGCGAAGCAACGACACACCGAGCGAUAACUCAUUUUAUAAUUCGCAACACAUCUACCUUAUCGUAUUCAUCCUUUGGAGUAUAUACUCAUAAUCACAUUCAACAUAUACAUAAUGCCAAAACAGAAUUUUCCUUCAGUUUGCUUUAAUCAAAACAACCCAAGCACCAACAUGACACCACUAAUAAUCCAAUUCUGGUUUCCGUUCAUACCUAGCACAUUCAAUAACUAAAACAAACUUCCUAAGCUACUGGUCACGCCCCCUUCUUAAAAUUAAUGGAUAAUUAACAAAGGUAUUCUAAAGAAUUAACACACCAAACAAGGAGAUUACUAACCAAAUUAUUUGCAGCUGCUGGCCAAGAGUUGAAGGGUUGGUUUCUCCAUUUCCAUGGCUGCCUAAGAAAAGUGGUGAAGAAGAAGAUGAUAUGCAGCAAUGCAUUUCACCACUUUAUUUAGCAUGGAGUGGAUUUAUCCACCUCAUUUAAUAGUAUGAAGUGGAGGCAGCCCCCCUC
This 2147-nucleotide long non-coding RNA is filed under the name Solanum lycopersicum (tomato). Its description in RNAcentral is "long non-coding RNA (SLYC_LNC000394)". The record is from RNAcentral. Lineage: Eukaryota; Viridiplantae; Streptophyta; Magnoliopsida; Solanales; Solanaceae.